CGCUGCCUGUCUGUCUCGUCCCGACUCCCGACACAUUCAUUACUAUGGGACAGCUGGAGAUUGAAUUUGAAUAUGUAAACAAUGUUGCAAAUGUCGGAGAGACAGACAGCAAGGUUUAUACAAAUCUCCGCUGUUGAAAACAAAAUGUUAGUCUAAAAAAAAUGUGAGAUCAUGUCUAGAUGCUUUUUAUAGUGGAGAUCAAGUUUAUAAAGUGCCUGGCUCAGUUGAUGAGACAGUGGAUUGAUGGAACCGAGUCAUUUUAACUUCAUAGAUUUAGCCGGUGGUAAUUUGUGGAAUAGACACCGGUUGGAAUGCCAAUCAGCAUUCAGGAUUAGACCCACACGUUGUGUAACAACUGACCUUUGCCUUUUCCCAUGAUGAUGGAUGACAAAAAGAUGUGUCAUGCGUGUUAAGAUGAGAGGAGAGUACCUGUGCUCGUCCUUCCGAGCCUACCUGCGGAGCUACACCUGUGCCUUACUGAACAGCGG
RNAcentral lists this long non-coding RNA (488 nucleotides) under Salmo salar (Atlantic salmon). Its description in RNAcentral is "lncRNA (ENSSSAG00000119058.1)". Lineage: Eukaryota; Metazoa; Chordata; Actinopteri; Salmoniformes; Salmonidae. The record is from RNAcentral.